This 445-nucleotide long non-coding RNA is filed under the name Chinchilla lanigera (long-tailed chinchilla). RNAcentral describes it as "lncRNA (ENSCLAG00000024084.1)". The record is from RNAcentral. Lineage: Eukaryota; Metazoa; Chordata; Mammalia; Rodentia; Chinchillidae.
AUGCCGCGUCGUCUCGCACCGCACGGGCAGCAAGUCCUUCCACCCUGUCCCUGCAGAAGCACAGAGGACCUCGGAACCUGCCGCAAGGCCAGGCCCACGGGUGUCAGCAUUGAUGAGCAACGCAGCCCCUGGCCUUUCCCCAGGACUGGAAGGCGCAGAAGGGGAAGCCGGUUCCUGAGAGCGAAUUUCCUCAUCAGAAUGUGCUGCGGUGUGACUGGGUGCUGUAUAGGUGCAGCGCGGGGCACCCAGGGGUGCCUCCUAGCUCCAGAAACUUCCCCGGCUCCUUCUGCCUCUGGGAGCUUGGCAGUCAGGGGAUAUUCUCAUCUCUGUCCCCAGCCUAAGGCUAAAGACCCAGCCUAAGAGCCUACGUGAUGUGACUGAAAAAUACAGUGAACAUUUAAUUUUUUAAAAAUCUCUUACGGGAAUAAAGACAGUGAGCACCUUU